Molecule: transfer RNA, 71 nt
Filed under: Chloroflexota bacterium
Lineage: Bacteria; Bacillati; Chloroflexota
Description: Chloroflexi bacterium (groundwater metagenome) tRNA-Gln
Rfam family: tRNA
About the family: Transfer RNA (tRNA) molecules are approximately 80 nucleotides in length. Their secondary structure includes four short double-helical elements and three loops (D, anti-codon, and T loops). Further hydrogen bonds mediate the characteristic L-shaped molecular structure. tRNAs have two regions of fundamental functional importance: the anti-codon, which is responsible for specific mRNA codon recognition, and the 3' end, to which the tRNAs corresponding amino acid is attached (by aminoacyl-tRNA synthetases). tRNAs cope with the degeneracy of the genetic code in two manners: having more than one tRNA (with a specific anti-codon) for a particular amino acid; and 'wobble' base-pairing, i.e. permitting non-standard base-pairing at the 3rd anti-codon position.
Source: RNAcentral
UCCGGGAUCGUCUAGCGGUAGGACGCGGCGCUUUGAACGCUGAAAGCGAGGUUCGAACCCUCGUCCCGGAU